AGGUUUCUUUGGGUUGACCUGCGGGAGGAUCAUUACUGAGUGAGGGCCCUCUGGGUCCAACCUCCCACCCGUGUUUAUUGUACCUUGUUGCUUCGGUGCGCCCGCCUCACGGCCGCCGGGGGGCUUCUGCCCCCGGGUCCGCGCGCACCGGAGACACUAUUGAACUCUGUCUGAAGAUUGCAGUCUGAGCAUAAACUAAAUAAGUUAAAACUUUCAACAACGGAUCUCUUGGUUCCGGCAUCGAUGAAGAACGCAGCGAAAUGCGAUAACUAAUGUGAAUUGCAGAAUUCAGUGAAUCAUCGAGUCUUUGAACGCACAUUGCGCCCCCUGGUAUUCCGGGGGGCAUGCCUGUCCGAGCGUCAUUGCUGCCCUCAAGCACGGCUUGUGUGUUGGGCUCCGUCCCCCCGGGGACGGGGUCCGAAAGGCAGCGGCGGCACCGAGUCCGGUCCUCGAGCGUAUGGGGCUUUGUCACCCGCUCUGUAGGCCCGGCCGGCGCCAGCCGACAACCAAUCAUCCUUUUUUCAGGUUGACCUCGGAUCAGGUAGGGAUACCCGCUGAACUUAAGCAUAUCAAUAAGCGGAGGAA
Molecule: ribosomal RNA, 585 nt
Filed under: Penicillium spinulosum
Lineage: Eukaryota; Fungi; Ascomycota; Eurotiomycetes; Eurotiales; Aspergillaceae
Description: eukaryotic LSU rRNA
Rfam family: 5.8S ribosomal RNA (bases 209-362)
Source: RNAcentral